CAGCUCCGCCUUUACAACCAGACUUCCCUGUGGAGCCUGUCCUCGGCUGUUCCUUCCCAGAGCAGCAUUCACAGUUUUGACAGUGACCUGGAAAGCCUGUGCAAUGCUUUGUUGAAAACCACCGUAGAAUCUCACACCAAAUCCUUGCCCAAAGUACCAGCCAAACUGUCCCCCAUGAAACAGGCACAACUGAGAAACUUCUUGGCCAAGAGGAAGACCCCACCAGUGAGAUCCACUGCUCCAGGUAAAGAGAACCAGUAACUGGGCCUGUACAUAGUGAUAGGGUGCGGUAGGGUGUGUGUGUGCGCGCGCGCACAUGCAUGUGUGCACGUGUGAGCUAGGGUGCUGUGUAUGUGUGUGUAAGUGUGUGUGUGUUGGUUCUUAAUAGGGGAUAGAGAAAAUGUCUCCAGAAUCUGUUGUUAAUCUGAAUAGUGGAAUAAGAACCAGCUUAUAUAUACUUGAUGAAGCAGCAAAGUAGUCGUUUUGGCUUUUACACUGUUUUCUGCAGUCCUCAAGUUUUAUGGCACUGAUUCACAAGGGUUUGAGAUAGGCUGAGCUGGAUCCUAGCCUCUGCUUUAGCCAGAGAAGGUUUACUUUUCUGAUUUGUGUUGGGUUUUGAGUAAGUUUGCAUCUGGGAAAAAGGUUUUUA
This 649-nucleotide small RNA is filed under the name Pan troglodytes (chimpanzee). RNAcentral describes it as "retained intron". The record is from RNAcentral. Lineage: Eukaryota; Metazoa; Chordata; Mammalia; Primates; Hominidae.